Molecule: ribosomal RNA, 256 nt
Filed under: uncultured bacterium
Lineage: Bacteria
Description: partial 16S ribosomal RNA
Rfam family: Bacterial small subunit ribosomal RNA
Source: RNAcentral
UACGUAGGGUGCGAGCGUUAAUCGGAAUUACUGGGCGUAAAGCGCGCGCAGGCGGUUUUUUCAAGUCAGUGGUGAAAGCCCGGAGCUCAACUCCGGAACUGCCAUUGAAACUGUGAAACUUGAGGAUGAGAGAGGUGAGUGGAAUUCCCAGUGUAGAGGUGAAAUUCGUAGAUAUUGGGAAGAACACCGGUGGCGAAGGCGGCUCACUGGCUCAUUUCUGACGCUCAGGCGCGACAGCGUGGGGGAUCAAAACAGG